Chelonia mydas (Green sea turtle) is the source of this 301-nucleotide long non-coding RNA. RefSeq lists it as uncharacterized. The transcript has 3 exons. NCBI's taxonomy places the organism in Eukaryota, Metazoa, Chordata, Testudines, Cheloniidae. The record is from RefSeq and is a predicted model, not a curated record.
CACCAGCUCUUUCUUCACCUAUUACAGACAGGGAUGGAAACAUUGAGGCCUGAAUUUCCAGAAAAUCUGGCACUGGUCCUUCAUGUAUACUUCAUCCACUUCGGACAACUACUGUGCAGACUUGAACUGCAGCAAGGAGUGAAUCAAUCCUGCCGGAACACAUUCAACUGCUUCAAGUGAGAAUAACUUCCUGGAAGUUUUGUUUACUUAUUUGUAUUUUUGAACUAACCAUAAUUUUCUGUUAUCCAAAGAAUUUCCAUACUAAAUAUCACAGAAGAGAAAAUCUGUAUGAACAAUAAAU